RNAcentral lists this ribosomal RNA (785 nucleotides) under uncultured bacterium. Its description in RNAcentral is "bacterial SSU rRNA". It matches the Rfam family "Bacterial small subunit ribosomal RNA", at positions 28 to 774 of the family's 1533-position model. The record is from RNAcentral.
GACUAACGCUGGCGGCGUGCCUAACACAUGCAAGUCGAACGGUUGAGAGAUAAAAGAUGAUUUAUCAUCUUUUAUCUCUCAAUAGUGGCGAACGGGUGAGUAACACGUGGGUAAUCUGCCCUUUAGUGGGGAAUAACAGAGGGAAACUUCUGCUAAUACCCCAUAUCUUCUUUAAAAGGCAUCUUUUAAAGAAGAAAGACGGCCUCUUUUUAAUGCUGUCGCUGGAGGAUGAGCCCGCGUUCCAUUAGCCAGUAGGUAGGGUAACGGCCUACCUAAGCGAUGAUGGAUAGCCGGCCUGAGAGGGUGGUCGGCCACACUGGGACUGAGAUACGGCCCAGACUCCUACGGGAGGCAGCAGUGGGGAAUUUUGCGCAAUGGGGGGAAACCCUGACGCAGCAACGCCGCGUGAGCGAUGAAGGCCUUCGGGUCGUAAAGCUCUGUCUUAGGGGAAGAAACCUUAAAGGCUAAUACCCUUUAAGCUGACGGUACCCUAAAAGGAAGCCCCGGCUAACUACGUGCCAGCAGCCGCGGUAACACGUAGGGGGCAAGCGUUGUCCGGAAUUAUUGGGCGUAAAGGGCGUGUAGGCGGCCGGUUAAGUCAGUGGUGUAAGGCUUCGGCUCAACCGGAGAAUUGCCAUUGAAACUGGUCGGCUUGAGGGCAGUAGAGGUAAGCGGAAUUCCUGGUGUAGCGGUGAAAUGCGUAGAUAUCAGGAGGAACACCAGUGGCGAAGGCGGCUUACUGGGCUGGCCCUGACGCUGAGGCGCGAAAGCGUGGGGAGCAAACA